GGAAAGUUGCAAAGAACUUUGAAGAGAGAGUUCAAGAGAACGUGAAAUCGCUAAAGUGGAACCGGAGAGAGUUAACAUAACUUGGUAGCUAUAUUCUCUAAAGUCGCUUAAUUGUGGCUCUGGGGGGUGGACGCUACCUGUUGUUGCACUGACUGCGUUGAUUGUGCUUUCCGAACAGUAUAGUGUUGCCCACUUUGUGGUGUCUUGCUUUCUGGGAGGUUUGUCAUAAUUAACGUAAAGCCAAUUCCCUUUGGAGUCAGUGUGAAAGUUAACCACCUUUCCGACCCGUCUUGAAACACGGACCGAGGAGUGUAAUUUAUACGCGAGUCAAGGGGUGGUGAAAACCCUAGGGGCGGAAUGAAAGUAAAGGCCGGUUAACCGGUUGACAUGGGAUCCGCUCUUCAGCGGCGCACCAUGGCCCUGUCUUGUCUGCUUGCAGAUGCGCAGCGGUAGAGCGUAUAGUUUGCGACCGGAAA
RNAcentral lists this ribosomal RNA (476 nucleotides) under Steinernema carpocapsae. RNAcentral's name for it is "eukaryotic LSU rRNA". It matches the Rfam family "Eukaryotic large subunit ribosomal RNA", at positions 358 to 821 of the family's 3401-position model. The record is from RNAcentral. Lineage: Eukaryota; Metazoa; Nematoda; Chromadorea; Rhabditida; Steinernematidae.